Brassica rapa (field mustard) is the source of this 4228-nucleotide RNA transcript. It is a transcript of the gene named crustapain, with no coding region annotated. NCBI's taxonomy places the organism in Eukaryota, Viridiplantae, Streptophyta, Magnoliopsida, Brassicales, Brassicaceae. The record is from RefSeq and is a predicted model, not a curated record.
GUCUUAUCGUCUUUUGGUUUGGUACCGACGCCUGUCUGUCGUAUUAAUCUUUUCUUACCUGGUAAAGAUGAAUUAAACAUGUAGGUCAGCAAAUGUUGCAUAAUAUCAUGAAACAUUGUAGGGGGCUAACAGAAGAGCAAAUUUGGCAGGUGGUUAGUGUUCAAUAUUGGUGAAAAAUAAAAAAACCAUCAUAUUAGUUUUUGACAUUUAUUGAAUUCUUGAUUGUGCUUCUCUUACCCGCAGUUCUGCAGGUAAUAAAAAGGCGUGCUUCAGGGCCUAUUAAAACAAACCAGUUUCUUCAUAGUUAAAAUCAAACAACUGGCGAGGUUAAUUUUUCUUUUAUAUCAUUGUCUGUUUGUUAUAGUAGUAAUGAUUUAGUAGAAAAUGUGCAUGUUAGUUAUCAGGCUUCCUGUUAUAGUUUCAGAGGCAGAGUGUGUCAGGUAAGAUGUGAUGCAUUGCAGGUUCAAGGAUAGUGUUAAGGACACAAAGGAGUUUGACAUGGAUUACGACAUUCUAGUCAUAGCUGUUGGAGCCACGUUCAAGGAAGCUGAAGAUGCUCUAAAGAUCCGUCAAACAGUCAUCAACUGUUUAGAGAGAGCGUCUCUUCUUGAUAUCUCUGAAGAAGAUUCUACAUUUCGUUGUGGUUGGUGGAGGACCCACUGCAGAACCAUUUGCAUCUGUCACAUCAUCAUCAAGGGCUGCAGCAACUGAAACAGCUUCUAUAUCUGAACCUAAAUACAGUCUUUCCAUGGGAGGAGUCUACAAGAUCCACAUAUGUACUGUUUGAUCAGAAAAAAAAAAAAGUAUAUAUUGUAAUUUCUUUUGGUUAUAUAACACAACAAGCACAAAACCUUUGUACUAUAAUUUAAAUGUCACAAGUGUGUGUGUAAACCGAUAUAAGUCAUUGCAGAUAGGUGUUGGAAAAAACUUAGUACAAACAAACUGAUGUAUAUAAUUUCUCCCCUGAAAAAUGCAAACGACGUCGUAGGUGUAAAUAUUUUAGACAAACGUUUAACGACACCGUUUCGGUCUGUGAAGUUAGAGUCAAAACAUUUUACGAUUUGUGAAAUUGGGGGGUGGGUCAGACGAAGAAGGCCGCAGCGAACGAACGAGUUUUAGUGGAGCUAUGGCUGAUUUCGACAUAGUUGAGCUUCGGGAACGAUAUAAACUGGUCUGUCAGGGUUUCCCCGCCAUUCCUUCUGACCUGAAACGCGAAUACGAAGAGGAGGACGAAGCUAAAGAGCUGAGGGAUCUAUUAAACAAUGCUGCUACGAUUAUGGGCGGUCUAGCAUAUAAUAUUAUAGAAGAGGCUACAUUCAAAAGUUCUACUUUGAUUGGUCUCAAUGCUCAGCUCGAUCUUUUCAAGACUCGUUUAUCUACCUGUGAAUCUACAUUCCUUGAAUUUGAACACUCACGAGUGCUUCUCACUGAUGAUCGAGUUGCUCAUCUCAAAGCUCAUGUGGAAGACAAGUAUGCUUUGUAUCGUGAUUGGGUACGUUUUCUCCACUAUGAUAAUUGCUUGUGUGUGAUUCAGUACGAUCAAGAUGCCCCGUUAAGGGAACUAAAACGAGAUAUGUUGAGGCUGCAACACCCUUUUCGCCAACAUCUGGAUUCGCUCCAUCAGAAAAUCUCCAACAACUCUUCACUCAUAAUCCAAAUUAACCAACUUGUGGAUCAAAUGAGUAAACACAUGGAAACGUGGCCGACCGAGGAUUUGAGAACCAAAGUCAAAGGAUAUGAUUACGUUUCUCAAUCAUUACAUACAGAUAAGAAUCGUCUCAACGAGCUCCAAGAAUCUCUUGAGAGGUUAAUAACGGAUGUGAUCGGGUUGAUAGAUAGAUUACUGGACAUUAAAAAGGAAUACGAUGUCAAGCUUUUCAGGAUUUAUACCAUCAGAAAAGAAGACUUUCAUGAACUAGACGCUUACCUCUUUGGUCCUAGGGCACCUAAGUCACCUCAAGCCUCGAAAUUCUUUCUUGAAGUGACAAAACUUGUCCCGAUCAACAAGCUUGUACUUCUCCUAGCUGCAAAACCUAUCUCGGAUAUCACCAUUGUAGAAUGCCGAGAUCACAUCCAGUUUGCAUAUUUAAAAACCGCUGAGGAAGGAGACAUACUGGUGACAGAAGAUCAAUGGGUAAAAAUCAUGGGACCCGUGAAAAACCAACUAGAACACGAUAUUUGCUGGGCAUUUGUCACCGCGGAGCUAGUGAGCGCCGUCAGACACAUCUACAAAUAUGACCCCACCGUUGUGGAAUACUCCUGUCGAGACCUUGUCGAUUUCGUAGAUCAUCAGAAACGUUCCCAAGAGAAGACGAAGGAGAAGUCGGGCAACAAACACUUUUGCUAUGCGCACGGAUUACGCCAAGGCUUUGAGUACGUCAAAGUUAAUGGCAUCCUAAGGGAAGAAUCCCGUCCGUUUGAAGCCGACUGUAGAGAAGAAGUAGUUACACGCCAUGGGUCUAACCUCGGCUACAUUAAAGAGGUAGUCUCCUUGACUACUGUCAAAGAAGUUCUUCAGACGCUUCAAAACCACCCUGUUGCUGGAUGCAUUCCCGUCUUUGAACCAGACUACGGCUCUAUUAAUGAUCAACUCUACUACGGCCCUACAUCUCCACUCUCACGUUACGAAACCAUGCAUGCGAUCAGCUUUGUUGGCGCUGGAGGAGUCAAGGAAGGUGAGAAGCAUGUGAAUGCUAGAUCCAGUCACGGUGUUAACUUCGGCAAAGACGGCUAUUUCAAAAUUUGCUUCCAGCACGUGAUAAUCUGCCUCACCCGUGGACACCACAUGAGGUAUCUUGAAGACCCGGUUCUUCUUCCUUGCAGAUUUGUAUACCCAGAGCUCCUAUCUCAAGAAAAGGACAAAGAGAAGAGAAGAGACGACACGAUAUAGAUCUCUUUCUUGGAGGGUGAUUUUGGCAGUGAAGCUGUAGCUAUGGCUCAUAAACUCUUUUAAUUAUUAGUAUCUUUUCCUACUGUCUGUUGACCUGAACAGCGCUUAGGGUUAUUAUGUGUGUUGGUGGAUCGUUCAUUGAUUUAACAAAGGAUAAUCAUAUUUCUCUUGGAAAAAUAAAACGUAGCAGUGUCUCACCGGUUAAGGAAGAACAAGAUCAGCUGUCCAGAACAGUUGCAUCAGUGAGUCACAGCAGUAACCUGUUUCUUCAUCAAGCCUGAGACGGCACAUUAAGGCUUGUAGAAGGACAAGGUGCACCCACGGUUGGUUCCAUGAGAGAACGAGCUGUCCACACCAUGAGCAUGAGCGUCACAGUCAAGGUUUGGCUGCAAUGGCGGUUAUGCUGGCACAAGCCUAUCGUCAAACGUGCAGUAACAUUUUAGCCAGAUAAAACAGAUGUGUUAUACCAUCCAGACCUUAAACCUCUAUGCUCUUUCAAGAUUCACAGACAAGGAAGGCCUACAAGAAGAUAUUUCUUUUGCUUGAUCCAAGUUUCUUAGAUCUAUGUUUAAUACACGUUGGAGAGGUAACAGUUGUUGGUGCGAAGGGAAAUUUAGGGCGUUUCAUCAAUAACUUCCGCCUUUCUGAAAAGGAUCAGGAGUCGAUUUAUGACUACAACUAUGUGAGGGUUUUUGCUGCUGCUGCUGCUGCUGCCAAAAAGUGUUAUUGUGGGUCAUCACAUUGCCGAGGCUAGGAGAUCCUUUGAACGGCGAUGUAAUUGUUCAAAGUUGCUCAGAUGAAGAGUAUUGUGCAGGCAAAUCUGGAAUAGCAACUGCCUUCUUCAGUGAGAGCAAUGCAUCACUGGCUAGGCAGCUCGCUGAGCUGAUGCAAGAAGCCAAUCAAGAGGUGCCUGAUUGGCUCACAAGAUACGCUUCACGUGCUUCAUUUGGCGGUAGUAAGAAACGGUCUGGUGGCCAGACGGGAGGGAAUAUUGAGCUCAGCUCUCAUGCUUCUCAAGUAGUUCCUCUUGGUUUUCUUGUGGACAGUCAAGCUCAAGAGCUCGUGCAGAACUCCCACAGCUCGUUUCUCCAUGAGAUCUAUGUGGGAGACAGACCAUGUAUGUGCUCAUAACAAUAUUGCAACCAGCGUGUGUGCUGUGUUUAGCAUAUAUAUAUAUAUAUAUAUAUAUAUAUAUAUUCACUGCUCUUAGUAUUUAUGUAAGGUAUCGAAGAAAGUAGAUGAAGUAUAUGUAGGGGAGGUGAGAAUACUCCAUCAUAAAUCUCUCAGAACCUUGAAUUUGCUUUUGAUCACAAGAGAGUUCUGAGUUUAUUUCUUAAA